GGACCUCUACCUGGGGUUCGCGGGCGGCAGCGGCUACCUGGCCAACGUGGACUGGUGGCAGUUCACCGCGGUGCAGGCAGCGGCGGUCCG
Molecule: transfer RNA, 90 nt
Filed under: Streptomyces sulfonofaciens
Lineage: Bacteria; Bacillati; Actinomycetota; Actinomycetes; Kitasatosporales; Streptomycetaceae
Description: tRNA-Ser
Source: RNAcentral